Non-coding RNA from Carassius auratus (goldfish), 74 nucleotides. The record is from the annotation of a RefSeq genome assembly. Lineage: Eukaryota; Metazoa; Chordata; Actinopteri; Cypriniformes; Cyprinidae.
GGCUUUGUGGCGCAAUGGAUAGCGCAUUGGACUUCUAAUUCAAAGGUUUGUGGGUUCGAGUCCCACCAGAGUCG